UCCUAGAGGAGAGAAUUCUUUCUAGCAGGA
Molecule: non-coding RNA, 30 nt
Filed under: Rattus norvegicus (Norway rat)
Lineage: Eukaryota; Metazoa; Chordata; Mammalia; Rodentia; Muridae
Source: RNAcentral